Molecule: ribosomal RNA, 468 nt
Filed under: uncultured bacterium
Lineage: Bacteria
Description: partial 16S ribosomal RNA
Rfam family: Bacterial small subunit ribosomal RNA
Source: RNAcentral
GACGAACGCUGGCGGCGUGCUUAACACAUGCAAGUCGAACGGAAAGGCCCUGCUUUUGUGGGGUGCUCGAGUGGCGAACGGGUGAGUAACACGUGAGUAACCUGCCCUUGACUUUGGGAUAACUUCAGGAAACUGGGGCUAAUACCGGAUAGGAGCUCCUGCUGCAUGGUGUGGGUUGGAAAGUUUCGGCGGUUGGGGAUGGGCUCGCGGCUUAUCAGCUUGUUGGUGGGGUAGUGGCUUACCAAGGCUUUGACGGGUAGCCGGCCUGAGAGGGUGACCGGCCACAUUGGGACUGAGAUACGGCCCAGACUCCUACGGGAGGCAGCAGUGGGGAAUAUUGCACAAUGGGCGGAAGCCUGAUGCAGCAACGCCGCGUGCGGGAUGACGGCCUUCGGGUUGUAAACCGCUUUCGCCUGGGACGAAGCGUGAGUGACGGUAAUGGGUAAAGAAGCACCGGCUAACUACGUG